CGGCAGCCUGGCGGGCAGGGUCCAGCCCCGAGGCCGCUCCCGGCUGGCGCCCGAGGGGCGGGGCUCUGCCGCGUAGGACCCGGACUCACUGAGGCCAGUCAGCCUCUCAGGAAGCUUUGGAAUAGUCAGAAGCCUUGCGCACCCCACUGUGCCGCUAGCAGCAGAAGCAGCGGGAAGGGCGUGCUCGGAGCUGCCCUGGACACUCAGGCUUGCUCCUUCCAGGAGUGGCUCUGAAUCAGCAUCUGAGGACGUUGUGCCUGGUGGCUUGAAGGUCCAACUUCCUGGAAGAGCCCACUUGGUCACCUGAGGGAACAGUGGCAUUGGAACAGCAAUGGCAACUCAAAUAGCCAAGCAAGGUGGCACAGUUCGCCUGGAUUGUUGAGAUCAAGACCAGGCAGAAGGUGCCAAAGGAGUCCUCCUUUCUCCGGGGACCCUCUGCUCCGGCGUGGGAAGGGACUGGGCGAGGACACCGCACCCCCUGCACCCUCAAGCUUGGACCGUGGCCAGAAGGAAAAAAUGCCCCAAUCUAGA
Suricata suricatta (meerkat) is the source of this 531-nucleotide long non-coding RNA. RefSeq lists it as uncharacterized. NCBI's taxonomy places the organism in Eukaryota, Metazoa, Chordata, Mammalia, Carnivora, Herpestidae. The transcript has 5 exons. The record is from RefSeq and is a predicted model, not a curated record.